Long non-coding RNA from Naja naja (Indian cobra), 2138 nucleotides. The record is from Ensembl. NCBI's taxonomy places the organism in Eukaryota, Metazoa, Chordata, Lepidosauria, Squamata, Elapidae.
GGAUAGAGGUUUGAGAUGUACACGCGUAUAUGUGGAGACUGUCAGUAAGACAGAACAGAGAAGUAAGUUGUGAAAUGCGUGCAGAAAAGUAUAAAAAGAAUGUCUUGGGAUGUGUUCAGGGCCACUGCCAUGGCUACUCCUUGCUGGACUCAGCCAUGUCGGUGGACCUCAUUGCAAUGAGUUGCUGUUUGAACUCAUGUGGAUAUGCAGAAUCAUCUCUACUACAAUCACAAAAUAACAUUUAAAAACAAAUUCAUAGAAUGUAAAGAUUAAAAGGGACUAUAAAUAUCAACUUCUCCAAAAUAAACAAGUGGAAUACCUAGAUAAUAUAAAGGACACAUUCUCAUCAAAUUUGUCACAGUUCCAAAAAAACACUGGCACCAUUCUGCAGACUUGACUACUUCAGAGCCUUGUGUACUUGUGUACAGUUGCUAUAUGCUGGAAAUCAAUAAACAGGCAAUCCUCAACACAUACAGUAACUGUCCAAAGUCUACUUGAAGUCAUUCAGUGAGAGUUUUCACACCUCCUCUAAUAAAUUUGUUGCAUUAUCAUACUACAGUAUGUAUCUUUGGGAUAUGGUGGUCUUCUUCCAAGUAUUAACCAGGACAGGUCCUGAUUAGGUUAUGAGCUCAGACAAGUGCUAGAUAUUGAUAAGUGGUCCAAUGGGAUAGUUUUCAUCCUAAGCAUCCAGUGAGUUUACAAACCCAUAGAAGUGAUGCUAUACAACUUUACUGAAAGCAAUAGUAAAAUGGAUUGCUGCAUAAGAAAACAAGCUUUCUCACACAGAGAAAUAUCUCUGUAGUGAACCAGUGAACCUGGAUUGCAGCCAGGUUUACUGAGAGGUCACCCAACUUUCUGCCACCCAUAAAUUAUUUUUGCAGUAAAAAGCUUAUUGGAACACAUAAAGCAUUUAUUUCAAUGUAGUUGCCAGCUUUUAAAACACUUCCAAUUCCUGCACCUUUACAUGAAAUGAAACUACAGGAGCUUCUCAGGUAAAGCAUUUCCUAGGAAAGCUACAAUCCUGAAAAGCAGUCCAGACUUUCCCUAACCAACCUCUUCAUGGAUAUGUAAUUAAAAGUUCCAUAUUUGCCAAUUAACUGGAAAUUCUGGGAAUUAUAAUCCUUAUGUAUCUGGAAGGCACUGGGUUCCUCCAUGCAGUAAUACAGGAUUAAGAUUUUGUAGCACAGAACUAAUAAGAGGGAGUGGUCUUUAAAUAACAAAUUUGUUAAAUAUAGUUAUAGCUUCAUAGCCAAAUCCUUCAUCAAGACAUCUUUUCCUGGAUUUGUAGAAGCCUCCAAUAUUUUUAUGAACAAUUGAAUCUAAAGUUCUAGUUGAGAACAGAUCCUCCUCCAAAUAAAUCAAUUUUAAUCAAAAUUUAGUAAUACUUUAAUAUAAUUAGCAUAUUCAAUAAGUGAUAAUAAAUUAUGUUCACAUUUCUUGGAAAGCAUUUUCUUUUCUACCAAAGAGGUUUUGCGAAAAGGUGCUGGUGGAUGAAUCUAAAAGUAUUGCAUAUUUUAAAAUUAGGAUAAAAUUAUACAUUAAAAGGAUAGUUCAAUUCCCCCCUGUAAAUAAUAAAAAGUUGAUUGUCCUUAGAAUACUUUCUUGUAUUGAAAAGUACCUUUGAAAAAAUGUAUUUUAAGUAAAACUGUUCCAAUAAAAGAGAAUAUAUGUAGUUCAGGAUCAUAUUGCAGAGUUCUUUAUGCUGAGUUUGGUUGGUUGGUUGCAAAUAUUUCAUUACCCAACUAGGUUCACACCAAUAUUACUAGUCAGAUAAUGAAACAUCUGUGAGCAAACAACCAAGCUCAGAGAGCACCAAGAACUCCACAAAUAAAAUUGUAUGCUGGCAACAAUAUAUUUAUAGUCUAAAAUGUUCUCACAUAUAUGAAAUCAAAUGGGGACUCAUUUUCAAUUUUGUUUACACAUGAUUCGCUGUUUAACUUUCCAGGGUUUUUGGAGUCCAGACUUUAGCAGUUCUAACAAUGUUUUGUUCCUUUAGUUGUUUUUCAUCAGUCCAAGAGAGUGAAUGCCCAGUGAUUGGAGGAAGUCCAUAAUCUGGGUCACUUGGAGGAGGUGUUCCUGGAAGGAAGAGAAACGAAAAAAAGGGGGGGGGAGACAAAUAGACUGAGUAUUCUCACCAU